CACGGGGGUUGCGAGCGUUGUCCGGAAUUACUGGGUGUAAAGGGAGCGCAGGCGGGGAGACAAGUCAGCUGUGAAAACUACCGGCUUAACCGAUAGAUUGCAGUUGAAACUGUUUUUCUUGAGUGGAGUAGAGGCAGGCGGAAUUCCGAGUGUAGCGGUGAAAUGCGUAGAUAUUCGGAGGAACACCGGUGGCGAAGGCGGCCUGCUGGGCUCUAACUGACGCUGAGGCUCGAAAGUGUGGGGAGCAAACAGG
RNAcentral lists this ribosomal RNA (253 nucleotides) under uncultured bacterium. Its description in RNAcentral is "partial 16S ribosomal RNA". It matches the Rfam family "Bacterial small subunit ribosomal RNA", at positions 524 to 776 of the family's 1533-position model. The record is from RNAcentral.